This 274-nucleotide ribosomal RNA is filed under the name uncultured bacterium. Its description in RNAcentral is "partial 16S ribosomal RNA". It matches the Rfam family "Bacterial small subunit ribosomal RNA", at positions 523 to 796 of the family's 1533-position model. The record is from RNAcentral.
AUACGGAGGGUCCAAGCGUUAUCCGGAAUCAUUGGGUUUAAAGGGUCCGUAGGCGGGCAAUUAAGUCAGAGGUGAAAUCCCACAGCUCAACUGUGGAACUGCCUUUGAUACUGGUUGUCUUGAAUUAUAGUGAAGUAGAUAGAAUAUGUAGUGUAGCGGUGAAAUGCAUAGAUAUUACAUAGAAUACCGAUUGCGAAGGCAGUCUACUAACUGUAUAUUGACGCUGAUGGACGAAAGCGUGGGGAGCGAACAGGAGUAGAAACCCUAGUAGUCC